GGGACUGUGGCUCAGCGGUAGAGCACUUGCCUUCCAUGUGAGAGGUACUGGGUUUGAUCCUCAGCACCA
RNAcentral lists this transfer RNA (69 nucleotides) under Ictidomys tridecemlineatus (thirteen-lined ground squirrel). Its description in RNAcentral is "Spermophilus tridecemlineatus (thirteen-lined ground squirrel) tRNA". It matches the Rfam family "tRNA". From Rfam's summary of the family: Transfer RNA (tRNA) molecules are approximately 80 nucleotides in length. Lineage: Eukaryota; Metazoa; Chordata; Mammalia; Rodentia; Sciuridae. The record is from Rfam by way of RNAcentral.